This 492-nucleotide ribosomal RNA is filed under the name uncultured bacterium. Its description in RNAcentral is "partial 16S ribosomal RNA". It matches the Rfam family "Bacterial small subunit ribosomal RNA", at positions 29 to 507 of the family's 1533-position model. The record is from RNAcentral.
AGUGAACGCUGGCGGUAGGCCUAACACAUGCAAGUCGAACGGCAGCACAGUAAGAGCUUGCUCUUACGGGUGGCGAGUGGCGGACGGGUGAGGAAUACAUCGGAAUCUACUUUUUCGUGGGGGAUAACGUAGGGAAACUUACGCUAAUACCGCAUACGACCUACGGGUGAAAGCAGGGGAUCUUCGGACCUUGCGCGAUUGAAUGAGCCGAUGUCGGAUUAGCUAGUUGGCGGGGUAAAGGCCCACCAAUGCGACGAUCCGUAGCUGGUCUGAGAGGAUGAUCAGCCACACUGGAACUGAGACACGGUCAAGACUCCUACGGGAGGCAGCAGUGGGGAAUAUUGGACAAUGGGCGCAAGCCUGAUCCAGCCAUACCGCGUGGGUGAAGAAGGCCUUCGGGUUGUAAAGCCCUUUUGUUGGGAAAGAAAAGCAGCAGGUUAAUACCCCGCUGUUCUGACGGUACCCAAAGAAUAAGCACCGGCUAACUUCGUG